Molecule: non-coding RNA, 46 nt
Filed under: Schistosoma margrebowiei
Lineage: Eukaryota; Metazoa; Platyhelminthes; Trematoda; Strigeidida; Schistosomatidae
Source: RNAcentral
GCACUGUUGAGGAGUCCCAAAAUGGGACGAAACGGUCGUCCAGUGC